This 357-nucleotide ribosomal RNA is filed under the name Bentheogennema intermedia. RNAcentral describes it as "partial 16S ribosomal RNA". The record is from RNAcentral. Lineage: Eukaryota; Metazoa; Arthropoda; Malacostraca; Decapoda; Benthesicymidae.
UAAUCAUUAGUCUUUUAAUUGAAGGCUGGAAUGAAUGGUUGGACAAAAAAUAAGCUGUCUCAGUUAUAAUUAUUGAAUUUAACUUUUAAGAGAAAAGGCUUAAAUAGUCUAAGGGGACGAUAAGACCCUAUAAAGCUUUACGAUUUGUUUAUUAAAUCAAAAAUUGUAAGUAUAAAUUUUAUUUAAUAGCACAUUUGUUUCGUUGGGGCGACGAGAAUAAAAUUUAGUAACUGUUCUUUUAGAGUAUAACAAUUAUAAUUGAAGGAAAAUUGAUCCCUUAUUAAGGAUUAAAAAUUUAAGUUACUUUAGGGAUAACAGCGUAAUCUUUUUUGAGAGUCCAUAUCGACAAAAAGGGUU